AGUCUUUUAUUUUCAUCCAUCCCUCCGUCUCCAACUCGCCCUCCGACAUUCAAAAACCAAAGAACCCUGGAUCGAGAGGGCCGCCGCACCAUCAGCCUCAUCCCCCAGACGAGUCCCACGCCAAGGCCCAUGCCGCCUCCGGCGCUCUCUCAGGCCCUAGCAGCGGCCUCGCCGCCGGCCACGACAUCCCCCCGCCCCCCUCGUCCAGGCCUAUCCAGUUCUCGUCGGCCCCAUCCGCGAUGUCGGUGCUCCUGCCCCCGGCAUGAUGUAGCCCUAGAUCUCCCGGCCCCUCGUGCGGN
RNAcentral lists this long non-coding RNA (299 nucleotides) under Phoenix dactylifera (date palm). RNAcentral's name for it is "long non-coding RNA (PDAC_LNC007264)". Lineage: Eukaryota; Viridiplantae; Streptophyta; Magnoliopsida; Arecales; Arecaceae. The record is from RNAcentral.